UAAUAAGCGGAGGAAAAGAAACUAACAAGGAUUCCCCCAGUAACGGCGAGUGAAGCGGGAAUAGCUCAAAUUUGAAAUCUCCGACGCUUGCGUCGGCGAAUUGUAGUUGCGAGAAGCACUUUCUCGGCGGAUCGGGCGUGCCUAAGUUGCUUGGAACAGUACGUCGCAGAGGGUGACAACCCCGUCUGUGGCACGGCCGGCCGCUCACGAUGUGCUUUCGAAGAGUCGGGUUGUUCGGGAAUGCAGCCCAAAACGGGUGGUAAACUCCAUCUAAAGCUAAAUAUUGACGUGAGACCGAUAGCGA
RNAcentral lists this ribosomal RNA (304 nucleotides) under Rhizopsammia sp. SLR-1995. Its description in RNAcentral is "eukaryotic LSU rRNA". It matches the Rfam family "Eukaryotic large subunit ribosomal RNA", at positions 44 to 343 of the family's 3401-position model. The record is from RNAcentral. Lineage: Eukaryota; Metazoa; Cnidaria; Anthozoa; Scleractinia; Dendrophylliidae.